AAUCUGUGAAUUAACAGAGAAGAAGAAGAAGAAGCUAGUACUAAACCAAUAAGUUUACACAUAAUCCAUGAACGUAUCUCACAGGUCACAACAUUUUCCUUCAUUAUUGUUCCCGCAAUCCAUCUCUCCACUGAGAUACAUCAUCCACUCCCCUCAUGCUUCCAGCCAUUGUCAUGAUUCCGAGAGGCAAACCAGAACACUUCUUCACAAUAGACACUGCAGUUUUUUUCAUUUCAGGACAAAGUGUAACACCAUGCCCUAAUCCGUCUAUGAACAAAUCCCAAGCCUCACCCUCAGAAAGAGGCUCCACUUUGAUUAUCCUUUGGCAAUCCAUUUUUCGACAUGUGUCCAAUGAUCUAGUUGUAAGAAUCAGCGUACACCCAUCUGUUUUAAGAGGUAUUCCCACUUUAUCAAGAGGAAAAUGAUUCCACAAAUUAUCAAUAAUUAAAACACAUUUUGUCACACUCAAUGUAGUCCAUAGCUCCCCGGCUCUAUUCACCACAUCUUUUUUAUUCCCAAGAUGUAAACCAAAAGCUUCGGCAAUGAGAUCCUGCAAUGCGUGAACGCUAAAUUCUGGAGGCACAGAAAUCCAACAAACACGAGGGAAAAUGUCUGGUUUCUCUUGAAGCUGAUUGUGGAUAUGUGUAGCCAAAGUUGUCUUUCCAUGUCACUUGGUCCAACUUUUGAUCCAACUUGGCUUCCAUGUCACUUGGUCCAACCUUUGAUCUUCUCAGUUCUAGCAAUGCAUCUCUCCAACGAUAUUCAGCAACCACUCCCUUCAUGCUUUGAGCCAUUGUCAUGAUUCCAAGAGGCAAACCAGCACACUUCUUCACAAUAGACUUUGCGAUCUUUUUCGUUUUAGGAUGAAGUGUAACACCAUGCCCUGAUCUGUCUAUGAACAGACCCCAAGCCUCACCCUUAGAAAGAGGCUCCACUUUGAUUAUCCUUUGGCAAUCCAUUUUUCGACAUGUGUCCAAUGAUCUAGUUGUAAGAAUCAGCUUACACCCAUCUGUUUUAAGAGGUAUUCCCACUUUAUCAAGAGGAAAAUGAUUCCACAAAUUAUCAAUAAUUAAAACACAUUUUGUCACACUCAAUGUAGUCCAUAGCUCCCCGGCUCUAUUCACCACAUCUUUUUUAUUCCCAAGAUGUAAACCAAAAGCUUCGGCAAUGAGAUCCUGCAAUGCGUGAACGCUAAAUUCUUGAGGCACAGAAAUCCAACAAACACGAGGGAAAAUGUCUGGUUUCUCUUGAAGCUGAUUGUGGAUAUGCGUAGCCAAAGUUGUCUUUCCAAUUCCCCCCACCCCGUAAAUGCCAAUGCAUAAAACCUCAUCAUUCAACAACAAAGAGCAGGCACCCUUCAUAUUUCUUUCAAACGCUUGGCCCGCCACUGGCUUCGUUGUCGGCAAUACAUAUCUUCCUGUCCUACGUUUCUUAUGCACAGGACUUUUAGAAGAGGGUUGUAUCUCAACAUCAGACUGCCUCAAUUCCGGACUCGUGGUCAGUCUACCAAUUCUUAACCCAAAAUCCCUCAUUGAUGAUGAUGAGAUGUUAU
RNAcentral lists this long non-coding RNA (1552 nucleotides) under Populus tremula. RNAcentral's name for it is "long non-coding RNA (PTRE_LNC001429)". Lineage: Eukaryota; Viridiplantae; Streptophyta; Magnoliopsida; Malpighiales; Salicaceae. The record is from RNAcentral.